CCUACGGGCGGCAGCAGUGAGGAAUAUUGGUCAAUGGACGGAAGUCUGAACCAGCCAUGCCGCGUGCAGGAAGACGGCUCUAUGAGUUGUAAACUGCUUUUGUACAAGGGUAAACCUGAAUACGUGUAUUCAGCUGAAAGUACUGUACGAAUAAGGAUCGGCUAACUCCGUGACAGCAGCCGCGGUAAUACGGAGGAUCCAAGCGUUCUCCGGAUUUAUUGGGUUGAAAGGGUGCGUAGGCGGAUUGAUAAGUUAGAGGGGAAAUGUCCGAGCUUAACUCGGGAACUGCCUCUAAUACUGGUGAUCUAGAGAGUAGAUGCGGUAGGCGGAAUGUAUGGUGUAGCGGUGAAAUGCUUAGAGAUCAUACAGAACACCGAUUGCGAAGGCAGCUUACCAAUCUAUAUCUGACGUUGAGGCACGAAAGCGUGGGGAGCAAACAGGAUUAGAUACCCGUGUAGUC
Molecule: ribosomal RNA, 460 nt
Filed under: uncultured bacterium
Lineage: Bacteria
Description: partial 16S ribosomal RNA
Rfam family: Bacterial small subunit ribosomal RNA
Source: RNAcentral